GGAUCAUUAUUGAAUUUGAAGAGGGAUGUUUCGAGCAUCCUUCGACUCUUUUCUCAUGAUUUACACACCUGUGAACCGUUGCCGAGUUCGCUCGGUGGCAACCUUUACACACACGUAACAGUAUAGAAAGUACAAACUAUAAAACAAAAACAACUUUUGACAACGGAUCUCUUGGUUCUCCCAUCGAUGAAGAACGCAGCGAAAUGCGAUAAGUAAUGUGAAUUGCAGAAUUCAGUGAAUCAUCGAAUCUUUGAACGCACCUUGCGCUCCUUGGUAUUCCUUGGAGCAUGCCUGUUUGAGUGUCUUGAAAUUCUCUGUUCCUUUGUUUUUGUUCAUUCGAAAGCGAAGCGAAUCAGGUCCUUGGGCCUGCUUGUGGUUACACAAGCUUGCCUUAAAUACAGUAGCUGGGCUUCAGCAGAGUUGUUAAGUAACAUUGAAAACUCUCGUAAAACGGAGCCUGCUCUCUAAUCGCCGUCACUGGCACCAUUUUUCUAUUUUGGCCUCAAAUCAGGUAGGACUACCCGCUGAA
RNAcentral lists this unclassified non-coding RNA (529 nucleotides) under Exobasidium sp. HN-2021. Its description in RNAcentral is "partial contains 18S rRNA, ITS1, 5.8S rRNA, ITS2 and 28S rRNA". The stretch from base 152 to 305 matches the Rfam family "5.8S ribosomal RNA". The record is from RNAcentral. Lineage: Eukaryota; Fungi; Basidiomycota; Exobasidiomycetes; Exobasidiales; Exobasidiaceae.